UUGCACAGUAAACACUCAAGUGUGCUUUGUAGUUGUCUUGGUUUUAACUCUGUGCUCGAGCAAUGCCUCUUCUUUAUCUUUGCAUCGAAAGGACUAUCCUUUUAAGUGUAUUAACAGAAUCAGUACAUUA
Sorex fumeus (smoky shrew) is the source of this 130-nucleotide small nucleolar RNA. RefSeq annotates it as small nucleolar RNA SNORA22. NCBI's taxonomy places the organism in Eukaryota, Metazoa, Chordata, Mammalia, Eulipotyphla, Soricidae. The record is from RefSeq and is a predicted model, not a curated record. The transcript has a single exon.